GGUUAAGCGACUAAGCGUACACGGUGGAUGCCCUGGCAGUCAGAGGCGAUGAAGGACGUGCUAAUCUGCGAUAAGCGUCGGUAAGGUGAUAUGAACCGUUAUAACCGGCGAUUUCCGAAUGGGGAAACCCAGUGUGUUUCGACACACUAUCAUUAACUGAAUCCAUAGGUUAAUGAGGCGAACCGGGGGAACUGAAACAUCUAAGUACCCCGAGGAAAAGAAAUCAACCGAGAUUCCCCCAGUAGCGGCGAGCGAACGGGGAGCAGCCCAGAGCCUGAAUCAGUGUGUGUGUUAGUGGAAGCGUCUGGAAAGGCGCGCGAUACAGGGUGACAGCCCCGUACACAAAAAUGCACAUACUGUGAGCUCGAUGAGUAGGGCGGGACACGUGGUAUCCUGUCUGAAUAUGGGGGGACCAUCCUCCAAGGCUAAAUACUCCUGACUGACCGAUAGUGAACCAGUACCGUGAGGGAAAGGCGAAAAGAACCCCGGCGAGGGGAGUGAAAAAGAACCUGAAACCGUGUACGUACAAGCAGUGGGAGCCUCUUUUAUGGGGUGACUGCGUACCUUUUGUAUAAUGGGUCAGCGACUUAUAUUCUGUAGCAAGGUUAACCGAAUAGGGGAGCCGAAGGGAAACCGAGUCUUAACCGGGCGUUAAGUUGCAGGGUAUAGACCCGAAACCCGGUGAUCUAGCCAUGGGCAGGUUGAAGGUUGGGUAACACUAACUGGAGGACCGAACCGACUAAUGUUGAAAAAUUAGCGGAUGACUUGUGGCUGGGGGUGAAAGGCCAAUCAAACCGGGAGAUAGCUGGUUCUCCCCGAAAGCUAUUUAGGUAGCGCCUCGUGAAUUCAUCUCCGGGGGUAGAGCACUGUUUCGGCAAGGGGGUCAUCCCGACUUACCAACCCGAUGCAAACUGCGAAUACCGGAGAAUGUUAUCACGGGAGACACACGGCGGGUGCUAACGUCCGUCGUGAAGAGGGAAACAACCCAGACCGCCAGCUAAGGUCCCAAAGUCAUGGUUAAGUGGGAAACGAUGUGGGAAGGCCCAGACAGCCAGGAUGUUGGCUUAGAAGCAGCCAUCAUUUAAAGAAAGCGUAAUAGCUCACUGGUCGAGUCGGCCUGCGCGGAAGAUGUAACGGGGCUAAACAAUGCACCGAAGCUGCGGCAGCGACACUGUGUGUUGUUGGGUAGGGGAGCGUUCUGUAAGCCUGUGAAGGUGUACUGUAAGGUAUGCUGGAGGUAUCAGAAGUGCGAAUGCUGACAUAAGUAACGAUAAAGCGGGUGAAAAGCCCGCUCGCCGGAAGACCAAGGGUUCCUGUCCAACGUUAAUCGGGGCAGGGUGAGUCGACCCCUAAGGCGAGGCCGAAAGGCGUAGUCGAUGGGAAACAGGUUAAUAUUCCUGUACUUGGUGUUACUGCGAAGGGGGGACGGAGAAGGCUAUGUUGGCCGGGCGACGGUUGUCCCGGUUUAAGCGUGUAGGCUGGUUUUCCAGGCAAAUCCGGAAAAUCAAGGCUGAGGCGUGAUGACGAGGCACUACGGUGCUGAAGCAACAAAUGCCCUGCUUCCAGGAAAAGCCUCUAAGCAUCAGGUAACAUCAAAUCGUACCCCAAACCGACACAGGUGGUCAGGUAGAGAAUACCAAGGCGUUUGAGAGAACUCGGGUGAAGGAACUAGGCAAAAUGGUGCCGUAACUUCGGGAGAAGGCACGCUGAUAUGUAGGUGAAGUCCCUCGCGGAUGGAGCUGAAAUCAGUCGAAGAUACCAGCUGGCUGCAACUGUUUAUUAAAAACACAGCACUGUGCAACACGAAAGUGGACGUAUACGGUGUGACGCCUGCCCGGUGCCGGAAGGUUAAUUGAUGGGGUCAGCGCAAGCGAAGCUCUUGAUCGAAGCCCCGGUAAACGGCGGCCGUAACUAUAACGGUCCUAAGGUAGCGAAAUUCCUUGUCGGGUAAGUUCCGACCUGCACGAAUGGCGUAAUGAUGGCCAGGCUGUCUCCACCCGAGACUCAGUGAAAUUGAACUCGCUGUGAAGAUGCAGUGUACCCGCGGCAAGACGGAAAGACCCCGUGAACCUUUACUAUAGCUUGACACUGAACAUUGAGCCUUGAUGUGUAGGAUAGGUGGGAGGCUUUGAAGUGUGGACGCCAGUCUGCAUGGAGCCGACCUUGAAAUACCACCCUUUAAUGUUUGAUGUUCUAACGUGGACCCGUGAUCCGGGUUGCGGACAGUGUCUGGUGGGUAGUUUGACUGGGGCGGUCUCCUCCUAAAGAGUAACGGAGGAGCACGAAGGUUGGCUAAUCCUGGUCGGACAUCAGGAGGUUAGUGCAAUGGCAUAAGCCAGCUUGACUGCGAGCGUGACGGCGCGAGCAGGUGCGAAAGCAGGUCAUAGUGAUCCGGUGGUUCUGAAUGGAAGGGCCAUCGCUCAACGGAUAAAAGGUACUCCGGGGAUAACAGGCUGAUACCGCCCAAGAGUUCAUAUCGACGGCGGUGUUUGGCACCUCGAUGUCGGCUCAUCACAUCCUGGGGCUGAAGUAGGUCCCAAGGGUAUGGCUGUUCGCCAUUUAAAGUGGUACGCGAGCUGGGUUUAGAACGUCGUGAGACAGUUCGGUCCCUAUCUGCCGUGGGCGCUGGAGAACUGAGGGGGGCUGCUCCUAGUACGAGAGGACCGGAGUGGACGCAUCACUGGUGUUCGGGUUGUCAUGCCAAUGGCACUGCCCGGUAGCUAAAUGCGGAAGAGAUAAGUGCUGAAAGCAUCUAAGCACGAAACUUGCCCCGAGAUGAGUUCUCCCUGACCCUUUAAGGGUCCUGAAGGAACGUUGAAGACGACGACGUUGAUAGGCCGGGUGUGUAAGCGCAGCGAUGCGUUGAGCUAACCGGUACUAAUGAACCGUGAGGCUUAACCUU
This 2902-nucleotide ribosomal RNA is filed under the name Escherichia coli O157:H7 str. EC4486. Its description in RNAcentral is "bacterial LSU rRNA". It matches the Rfam family "Bacterial large subunit ribosomal RNA". The record is from RNAcentral. Lineage: Bacteria; Pseudomonadati; Pseudomonadota; Gammaproteobacteria; Enterobacterales; Enterobacteriaceae.